GGUCCUAUAGUCUAGUGGUUAGGACUUCCGGUUUUGAGAUCCAUAUCAUCUUAAGUCCGGACAGCGCCGGUUCGAACCCGGCUAGGACCU
Molecule: transfer RNA, 90 nt
Filed under: Aspergillus melleus
Lineage: Eukaryota; Fungi; Ascomycota; Eurotiomycetes; Eurotiales; Aspergillaceae
Description: tRNA-Gln
Rfam family: tRNA
About the family: Transfer RNA (tRNA) molecules are approximately 80 nucleotides in length. Their secondary structure includes four short double-helical elements and three loops (D, anti-codon, and T loops).
Source: RNAcentral